CGGGGCGUAGCUCAGGUGGCAGAGCGCUGGCAUCGGGAGCCAGAGGUCGCGGGUUCAAGUCCCGCCGCCCCGA
RNAcentral lists this transfer RNA (73 nucleotides) under Aquifex aeolicus. RNAcentral's name for it is "tRNA-Pro". It matches the Rfam family "tRNA". From Rfam's summary of the family: Transfer RNA (tRNA) molecules are approximately 80 nucleotides in length. Their secondary structure includes four short double-helical elements and three loops (D, anti-codon, and T loops). Further hydrogen bonds mediate the characteristic L-shaped molecular structure. tRNAs have two regions of fundamental functional importance: the anti-codon, which is responsible for specific mRNA codon recognition, and the 3' end, to which the tRNAs corresponding amino acid is attached (by aminoacyl-tRNA synthetases). tRNAs cope with the degeneracy of the genetic code in two manners: having more than one tRNA (with a specific anti-codon) for a particular amino acid; and 'wobble' base-pairing, i.e. permitting non-standard base-pairing at the 3rd anti-codon position. RNAcentral also lists the same sequence under 4 other names. Lineage: Bacteria; Pseudomonadati; Aquificota; Aquificia; Aquificales; Aquificaceae. The record is from RNAcentral.